RNAcentral lists this microRNA precursor (126 nucleotides) under Cavia porcellus (domestic guinea pig). RNAcentral describes it as "miRNA (ENSCPOG00000032174.1)". The record is from RNAcentral. Lineage: Eukaryota; Metazoa; Chordata; Mammalia; Rodentia; Caviidae.
GGUCUCACUAUGUAGCUCAGGCUGUCCUUGGACUCACUGUGUAGUCCAGGCUGGCCUUGAACUCAUGACAAUUCUCCUGCCUCAGCCUCCAUAGUGCUGGCCUUACAGAUGUGUGCUACCAUGCCC